Mustela lutreola (European mink) is the source of this 993-nucleotide long non-coding RNA. RefSeq lists it as uncharacterized. The record is from RefSeq and is a predicted model, not a curated record. The transcript has 4 exons. Lineage: Eukaryota; Metazoa; Chordata; Mammalia; Carnivora; Mustelidae.
AGCCUGGGGUUUUGUUUGCAGUUUGGGAGGAGUAUCCAAACAGCCCCUCUCACAGGCUCCCUUCUGCCUUCUCUCCAUGCUGUGAAUGCAAUGCACACUAGCUCGGAAGGGAACGGGCCCUCCAGGUCCUGCUUUUAAUCUGGAAAUGCUAAGCCUGCUCCUGUACCAAAGGCAGAGUCCACCGUCCCUUCAAGCCUUGUAAGAAGACACAGCAGCUCUGUUGUGAGCCAUGCCACCAGACGCAACAGCCCCUGUGACAAUAGGACUCCCUCCUCCACCUCCCUGCACCUUCCCACAGACCAGCACCUGGGGAAAGAGUGACAGUCCAUGGGCAGUCUUCAGAGAGAAUUUCUGAGAUGUUGCCAGCGGCAGGAAGGAAAAGUCUUGGGUAGAAGUCACUGGUGGUGAUGUGAAGGGCAGUGAGUUCCUGCGGGACCCCAUACGAACCUGAUCCACUUGAACAGCAGUUAGGAACGGAACAAGGCACACCUGAGAGUGUGCCUAUAGAGCAUUAUGCCAGAAUAGACAAUGCUGUAGUGGCCCCCAAAACCUACCGCUUCAGAGCAAAUAGCAGAGGUAUGACUCUGACACUAAUGAGAAAAGGACAAGGUAUGACCGCACACAGCAAUCGGAUCUCUUGGUCACACUGAGACCGGUGACCCAUCAGUUCUUAUAAGAGAAGCAGAGGCUCUACUGAGCGGAAGCUCUCGCCAAAAGCUUUCUCAGGACAGCCAACAGACUUGUUACACACAUUACCGCAACCCAGGCUGUGGCUGAUGAAGCUAGAGUGGGGACAGCCCAUGACUAAGGUCUCUCUGAGGUUGUCCAAGGAUCAUGUGGCCACCCAAGGCUUCCGUCCACCACUACCAAUGAGGAGACUGGACCAUAUGGAAGCGGAGAACAAACGCAUUCAAGACAAAGGUGAUCACGCGAAACAACACCUACGGAAAAAGAGGGAAAAUACACGAGAAUAAAUUAUGUUGGGAACAUUUA